AUUGAACGCUGGCGGAAUGCUUUACACAUGCAAGUCGAGCGGCAGCACGGGGGCAACCCUGGUGGCGAGCGGCGAACGGGUGAGUAAUACAUCGGAACAUGCCCAGUCGUGGGGGAUAACACUUCGAAAGAAGUGCUAAUACCGCAUACGUCCUGAGGGGGAAAGCGGGGGAUCGCAAGACCUCGCGCGAUUGGAGUGGCCGAUGUCAGAUUAGCUAGUUGGUGGGGUAAAGGCCUACCAAGGCAACGAUCUGUAGCUGGUCUGAGAGGAUGAUCAGCCACACUGGGACUGAGACACGGCCCAGACUCCUACGGGAGGCAGCAGUGGGGAAUUUUGGACAAUGGGGGCAACCCUGAUCCAGCCAUUCCGCGUGAGUGAAGAAGGCCUUCGGGUUGUAAAGCUCUUUCGGCAGGAACGAAACGGUGAGCUCUAACAUAGCUUGCUAAUGACGGUACCUGAAGAAGAAACACCGGCUAACUACGUG
RNAcentral lists this ribosomal RNA (484 nucleotides) under uncultured bacterium. RNAcentral describes it as "partial 16S ribosomal RNA". It matches the Rfam family "Bacterial small subunit ribosomal RNA", at positions 30 to 507 of the family's 1533-position model. The record is from RNAcentral.